GUGUCAGCCGCCGCGGUAACACGUAGGGUGCGAGCGUUGUCCGGAAUUAUUGGGCGUAAAGAGCUCGUAGGCGGUGUGUCGCGUCGGCCGUGAAAACUUGGGGCUUAACUCUGAGCUUGCGGUCGAUACGGGCAUCACUUGAGUUCGGCAGGGGAGACUGGAAUUCCUGGUGUAGCGGUGAAAUGCGCAGAUAUCAGGAGGAACACCGGUGGCGAAGGCGGGUCUCUGGGCCGAUACUGACGCUGAGGAGCGAAAGCGUGGGGAGCGAACAGGAUUAGAUACCCCCGUAGUCC
Molecule: ribosomal RNA, 293 nt
Filed under: uncultured bacterium
Lineage: Bacteria
Description: partial 16S ribosomal RNA
Rfam family: Bacterial small subunit ribosomal RNA
Source: RNAcentral